CUCCGACUCUCUGUACGUGACACUGAAAGGUGGAACUAGGCUCCUCCCAGGUAGCUCUUCUCAGUGGCCUGGGUGUGUGUGUGUGUGUCUCUGCAGGGCCUGUGUGUGUGUAACUGUGUGUGUCUGUCUGUCUGUGUGUGUGUGUGUGUCUGCAGGGCCUGUGGUUCGCUAACCCGGGGGCAGCAACAGCAUGCCCAGCAGAACUCACAGUUCAGUACAGAGGACCCGCUCCCUGCCUGUACACACCACCCCACACACCAUGGGCAUGUUCCAGCAGUCAGAUCUCCAGGUGCCGGUGACAGAACCAGACAUCAACAACCGCCUCGAGUCUCUGUGUCUGAGUAUGACUGAACACGCCCUUGGAGGUGAGAGAGACGGAGUCGACCGGACAUCCACGAUCUGAGAGGAGGACCUGAGGGAGACCAGGCGAUGCAGAGCUGGUCCAGGCGGCCGGAACCUCGAGGUCACGACCCCCCAACCUUCACUUCUCCGUCAAGCGCCCCACAGCCAAUAGGAGAGGUCACAAAAGGGUGGGCGGUGUCCAAACAACACAAAGAACCAAUCCGUAUACGGCUAACAAAAGCUCCACUUCUUCCUGUCCAAUCAGGAGCUGAACCUAGGUAAACCCCGCCCCCUCAGCACACUCACAAUUCCCCCCGGCGUCUGGGUGAGGGUAGAGGACGGCCCCACGAUGCACCCGAACCACAGACCCAACCCCAGCCUCGUCUGAGGAGCGCCCCCUGUGGGAUCGGGGGAGAAAUGGCACUCAGGUCCCUGGCGUUAAUCCCUGGAUGUGGCUAACCUCCGCCUUGUUCCUCAGCCUUAGAGCCGCUCCCAGGCUCAGCCCAGGCCAGAGCUCCCAGGCUCAGCCCAGGCCAGAGCUCCCAGCCCGCCUCAUCACCACUCACACCAUGGAAGACACCCCCGCCCCCGCUAACAAACAAAGUGAAUGUUUCCCUCCACUGCUCUGAGUGUUAGUGAGGGAGUGCUGUGGACUUGGGAGAGCCGUUUUCUCUCUCUUGGGUGACUAAAGCAUUUAUAUACGAUAUGUAUUGUUUACGUAAGAUGCUACUAUCAAGGGUACUGAAACGUUUAUGAUUUUCAGGAAUUAAUGUACCCGUUCUUUGUUUUGUUUUGGGGGUUCUUGUGGCACACUACCAUAGUUUAGUAACGACCCACAGGCUAGUAGCCACCAUGAUAGUUUACAUGUAAUCCAAUAGUUUUGUUCUGUAUGUCGCUUGCAGCCGAGCUGUGCAGGACUGAGACAAGAAGAGGGAAGAAACGCAUGUGGUCGAAAGGAAAAGAGAGAAGCGAGAGGAGGAGUUACAGGAAAGAAAAAGGAACGUCUAGGAAUACGAAGGUCUGUGAGAAGGGAUGUUUGGAUGGAGAGGAGGAUGUCUGAACAGGGUCUGUCCCACCUCAAAUCAGAGGCAGGAACUUCGAUUUGAGGAAGACGAGCUGUCUGGAGGAGCUGGGGUAGUUGUUGGGUAGGUUGUGUAAACAAAAACCUGGGGCAGUGGGAUUCAUCACAGGUCAACAUUUAGUAUUUUGUACAUAUAAAUAUAUAUAACAAUUAUAUAGUUAUUGAAUUUAUAAUAGCUUAUGUACUUGGAAAUGCUAUGCAUUGAGAGUACAUGAUUGGCAUUUGUUUGAACCGUGACUGGGUGGAGGUUUGGCGUGUGGGGUAGAAGGGUGGAGGUUGGACUAGAUGUGUUCUAGACAGUUACAGGUUCUCAUCGUUCGAACUGGUAGCUCUGAUGCUGGCUCGAAAAGCCAGUGUGUGGUUCACGAGGAACACAUUCAUUAGCUCUUGAAUCGUUGCAGGUGUGUGUAUGGAUAUCGUUGUGUGUGUGAUCCAGGGUAGAUGCUUUAACUGCAUGUUAUUCCUUUUCAUCUUGCUAGGUAGACAGGGGUCUCAGACGUGUAGGGUUGUGAGGCAGGGUGUAACGUACCAAACUAUUUAGACGUGCGUGGGAGGAAGAGGUUGUUUUCGUCGGCUACAUCGCUGUGGAGGUUUGUCUUUUCCUUGAGGAGAUGCAAAUCCAUGACGGGCUUCAGUACUCCCAGAGGUUGCCCUCUUCUGAGAACUUACCUCUACCUGGUGGCCACACUUGGUACUACAGCCGGUCAUUACUGUAUUCAUCAGUAGAAUUUGGCAGUUGUACUUUGAAAGUUUGGUUCCACCCUGUCUUAAUAUUUAUCCUGUUUAUUGUUUCUGGAUCAAUACUUUAUAGGAUUUGUUUGUCAAAAUAAGCUGUUUAGCAAAACGUACGGCUUUGUCAUGUGCAGUCACUGCAUUGUGUGUGCGUUAAAACCCUUGACCCUUGAGCUCUGUGCAUAGACAAGGUCGCACAUUUUGUGCCUGGAAAUAUUUACUAUUGUUAGCCUGUUUGGAAUUGAUUUUGAGCGAUUCAAAAUGUGAGGCAUAUCCAUAGUUAUCGUUGGAAUUUCAGUAAUUAAUUUCUUUCUUGCCAUUCUUAGAAUAUUUUUUUCUGCACUUGUUAAAGGGCCUUUGACUCUAACAACAAGGACAGCACAUGCAGCAGUCAUAAACCUUAAAUGUGCAAUACCUGACUUCCAGGAGAGUGGAGAUGGUGAGGGUGGAGAUGGUGAGGGUGGAGAUGGUGAGGGUGGAGAUGGUGAGGGUGGAGAUGGUGAGGGUGGAGGAGAUGCGGGUGAGAAGGUCAUAAAAGGGACACUAGGUGGACCUUCAUUUAGUGGAACCAAAUCAAUGCCAAAUACACCGUGUUCCACCUCUGCAGAAACAACCACUUUCCUUCUUUCAGCGGAGACUAAGGGGGUGGUUUGACUCGAUGGUGUGGUCUGUUAAAACUGCUCACCUGUCACCGAUGGCAGAUGAACUGGCCAAAUCGAUGACUGGCUCCUUUAGAAUCCAGAACCUUCCUUCUCUCUUGACACAGUACACAUACACACACUCUUAACACAACCCCCCCCCCCCCACACACACACACACACACACUGCCUGCUAGUGCCUGUGUGUUUUGAAUGCUGUAUAACCAAAGCAUUUUUUGUGGAGACGAGUGUCACAGUUCUGUGUUUGUGUGCUGCUGCAGUAGUGAGGAUUUUCUCCCUCCCUGCAUCGCUGCACUUGCAUGUCCUCGUACAAGCAGGUGACAUGCAGGGACGUCACGAGGGGAAGGGAGAUUUGCCUAGAGCGUAUUCUGGCUUAGGGCAAAGGCUACAGUACACUGUGACGUCACUCACAGUCCUAAUACAAAGCAGCCAAUCUGCCCUUCUAGGUAGUCAUAAGAGCCACUUGUCACAGCCAUAUGAAUCAAUACUAUUAGUGGAUUCAAAUGAUUAUUUAUUCUUUUUUUCUAUAACUGUUGCAGAGGUGUUGUUUUAUUCAUAUAGGUGUAUUAUUUAAAGAACCAUCUGUAUUAACGUUGCUAUGGCUGGUGACCAUAAGUACAUCUCAAAUAUUAACAUAGUUAUUUUGUUUUACUCUGAUCUAUAAUCUUCUAUUUGAUGGGGAGUAAGGAGCUGUGUGUCUUUUGGGGAAGGACGUUGUGUUGUGUUUCUACUUGCCUCGCUAACGUGCAUGGCUGAGAGCGGCCAGGAGGGGGAGCAGUCUGUCUUUCCUGGAAUUCAUGCAAAGUUGUCGAAACGCCUGGUUACGCCUCUGAUCACAAAGUUCAGGCCGGAUGCACGGGGGAGGACAAGCCUUGGCAACCCUGCGAGGCAUCGAAAGGACAUGGAGGAUGUUGUUUUUUAUGUGUGUUGGUGGAAAACACCGAAGCAGUGUGUUCAGAAUGGGCUUGACGCAAAGCCAAGGAACUGACGUAGAAGGCAGUUUAGAAUCCUGUGCAUGAUGCUACACAGCAUCGUCACGGCGAUGUAGACCAGCCAGGAAAUGAGACCACCACAUACACUAACUGCCUAGGCGAUAUGAACCAUGUGAUUUAUUUUUUUAUAAUUACUCAGUGGGCAUGCACUUGUUGGUCAGGAGUAUGGCUAUGCACACUGCAGUUUGAACAGUUAGAUGACACUCUGAUAUUCAACAAAUGAAACAUAAUUUAAUUAAGUGUCAGUGUUUUUUUUGUUGUUUUUUUUCAUACUCUGCACAUUAGUCAAUUAUACACAUUAUUUUUGGGCGAAAUUAUUAUUAUAUUAAAAAAUAAUAAGUUGGCAAAUUUAAAAAGUAUCCUUACUGUAACAAAGUUCUACCGCUUAACUGUGCUCUUAAUUUGUCUUUUGUUUUACUUUAUCAGAGCCGAUGACCUGUAUUGACUGCAGGCUUACAUAUAUAUUUGAAAAAGAUUAUUGUAUGUUUAAGAAUAAAAACAAAAAGAAAACAAAAAAAGGAAGGGAAAAAAAAAAAAAAGGAAAAAAAAAAGGUAAUUUAUAUUUUAGAAAUGCAU
Long non-coding RNA from Osmerus eperlanus (European smelt), 4382 nucleotides. RefSeq lists it as uncharacterized. NCBI's taxonomy places the organism in Eukaryota, Metazoa, Chordata, Actinopteri, Osmeriformes, Osmeridae. The transcript has 3 exons. The record is from RefSeq and is a predicted model, not a curated record.